RNAcentral lists this ribosomal RNA (468 nucleotides) under uncultured bacterium. Its description in RNAcentral is "partial 16S ribosomal RNA". It matches the Rfam family "Bacterial small subunit ribosomal RNA", at positions 28 to 507 of the family's 1533-position model. The record is from RNAcentral.
GAUGAACGCUGGCGGCGUGCUUAACACAUGCAAGUCGAACGGAAAGGCCCUGCUUUUGUGGGGUGCUCGAGUGGCGAACGGGUGAGUAACACGUGAGUAACCUGCCCUUGACUUUGGGAUAACUUCAGGAAACUGGGGCUAAUACCGGAUAGGAGCUCCUGCUGCAUGGUGGGGGUUGGAAAGUUUCGGCGGUUGGGGAUGGACUCGCGGCUUAUCAGCUUGUUGGUGGGGUAGUGGCUUACCAAGGCUUUGACGGGUAGCCGGCCUGAGAGGGUGACCGGCCACAUUGGGACUGAGAUACGGCCCAGACUCCUACGGGAGGCAGCAGUGGGGAAUAUUGCACAAUGGGCGGAAGCCUGAUGCAGUAACGCCGCGUGCGGGAUGACGGCCUUCGGGUUGUAAACCGCUUUCGCCUGUGACGAAGCGUGAGUGACGGUAAUGGGUAAAGAAGCACCGGCUAACUACGUG